CCUACGGGAGGCAGCAGUAGGGAAUCUUCGGCAAUGGGGGCAACCCUGACCGAGCAACGCCGCGUGAGUGAAGAAGGUUUUCGGAUCGUAAAGCUCUGUUGUAAGAGAAGAACGUGUGUGAGAGUGGAAAGUUCACACAGUGACGGUAACUUACCAGAAAGGGACGGCUAACUACGUGCCAGCAGCCGCGGUAAUACGUAGGUCCCGAGCGUUGUCCGGAUUUAUUGGGCGUAAAGCGAGCGCAGGCGGUUUAAUAAGUCUGAAGUUAAAGGCAGUGGCUUAACCAUUGUUCGCUUUGGAAACUGUCAAACUUGAGUGCAGAAGGGGAGAGUGGAAUUCCAUGUGUAGCGGUGAAAUGCGUAGAUAUAUGGAGGAACACCGGUGGCGAAAGCGGCUCUCUGGUCUGUAACUGACGCUGAGGCUCGAAAGCGUGGGGAGCAAACAGGAUUAGAUACCCUUGUAGUC
This 465-nucleotide ribosomal RNA is filed under the name Escherichia coli. RNAcentral describes it as "bacterial SSU rRNA". It matches the Rfam family "Bacterial small subunit ribosomal RNA", at positions 338 to 795 of the family's 1533-position model. Lineage: Bacteria; Pseudomonadati; Pseudomonadota; Gammaproteobacteria; Enterobacterales; Enterobacteriaceae. The record is from RNAcentral.